AGGAUGAAUGCUGGCGGCGCGCCUAACACAUGCAAGUCGAGCGGUAAGGCCCUUAGGGGUACACGAGCGGCGGACGGCUGAGUAACGCGUGGGAGCAUGCCCCAAAGUGAGGAAUAACUGCCCGAAAGGGUAGCUAAUGCCGCAUAUGAUCUUAGGAUUAAAGGAUUUAUCCGCUUUGGGAGUGGCCUGCGUACGAUUAGAUAGUUGGUGAGGUAAAGGCUCACCAAGUCUACGAUCGUUAACUGUUCUGAGAGGAUGAUCAGUCAGACUGGAACUGAGACACGGUCCAGACUCCUACGGGAGCAGCAGUGAGGAAUCUUCCACAAUGGGC
RNAcentral lists this ribosomal RNA (331 nucleotides) under uncultured bacterium. RNAcentral describes it as "SSU rRNA". It matches the Rfam family "Bacterial small subunit ribosomal RNA", at positions 26 to 376 of the family's 1533-position model. The record is from RNAcentral.